This 27-nucleotide non-coding RNA is filed under the name Homo sapiens (human). Lineage: Eukaryota; Metazoa; Chordata; Mammalia; Primates; Hominidae. The record is from RNAcentral.
UGGGUGUUCUUGUGCACAUGAAUGCGA